RNAcentral lists this long non-coding RNA (10262 nucleotides) under Homo sapiens (human). Its description in RNAcentral is "non-protein coding FRY-AS1:7". The stretch from base 5823 to 5939 matches the Rfam family "Metazoan signal recognition particle RNA". Lineage: Eukaryota; Metazoa; Chordata; Mammalia; Primates; Hominidae. The record is from RNAcentral.
AUUUCGGGGCUGUCAUCACCAGAAACGCCGGCUGCCGGCCGCCCACCAGCUCGGCUCCAGCCAGCAAGGCUUCCCGUGAGCGGCCCGGGUGUGCUCUGGCUGCUGCUUCCCCUUGUGUCUGUCCCUGAAAUAAACACAACUGCAGCACGCUGCGGUAAGCAAAGCUGCAGCCUUGCAUCUGGUUGCAGCGACGUUUUGAAAAACCCCAUCCGUCAGCCUCGUUGCAGUAAAGAGACUCAACAAGAGGACGCUUGUCUGGGCUUUUUCUUCCCUGCCUUCCACACGCAUGGUGGUAUCUGCAUUUUUACUUUUCCCUCCCAGAAAUGCAGUCUUUUCAAGGGGCAUCGGAGCCCGAACGUGUGCACUCUAAGGGGACAGUACACACUGCUUAGUUGGCUUGUUUUUGUAAUGUCACACACUCCACAAUGGAUCUUAUUCUCAAACCUCUCAUUUCUAAGACUCACUAAGCCCAGUGAAGCUUAUUUUAUUUGUAUGAAAAGGAUAAGAAGCAAAAGCAUUAGAUUCCUUGCUCUACAAUGGCUCUUGAUUUCAUGAAUUCUUGAUAUCAGGUGUCCUGAUUUUGGUUAGCUUUGUUUCACAUUAUCAUUUAGCUUGACCAGGGGAUUAAAUAAGAGUAUUAUAUUUUAAUAAUGACAGGUUAUGUUGGAAGAGGUGGGAUUUGGCCAACUAUCUCAUAAACCACAGGAUCCUUCCCAAGUCCCAGUACAUUCAUGAUUAAUGUUGUCUAAAAAACAGAAAAAAGUAAUAAACCAUGUUAAUAAGUAUUUAACAUAGCAAAUGUUGGGCUAACUCCCCAAAUCAACACACAAACAGGACUUCCUAGAUUAACAGUUCAUUUUAAAAAUGGAAGGGAAAGACUACAAUGUACUUUUAUUGUUAGGACAAAGAAUUUUUAAAAUUCAACACUAAAUAAAACUUCUAGAACUAUGUUCUGAAAGGCCCUAAGAUACUUCAUCAAUACAAUUAGUUUUUCAAACUCAUUACACUUACCCAAAUGGCAAGCACUCAAUCACUCAGAUUUCCAACUCCACUUAUACACUUUAUUCUGAUGAAAUCUCUCACCAGAUUGACUUCUUUUUAAUUCAUGUGCAUACUAGAGUUGCUGAACUGAUUUUAUCACUUGUACUUUGAAUGUAUGGAUUCUAGGUAAAAUAAGACCCAAAGGUUUUACCUUGAAACAAUUAUUAUAUCUGAAAAUAAAUUUCAUACCUACGCCCAUCUGAUGCUUGCCAAGACUCAGAUGGCAGUGAAUGAACAGGUAGGCUGCACAGUGCCCUGCGAUUAACGAUGGCAUGGGCUCUCAAGGCAGGGCCCCAUGUUCGCUCCUGGCACCAGCCCUUACUAGCUUUGAGCCCCAAAGUAAGCUAUUAACUUUGCUAAGCCUUCGUUUCCUCAUCUGUAAAAUGGGGUUGUACCUUCUUCCUAUAGUUGUUGGAAACAAUAAAUAACACUAUGUAUGAAAGGGGCUCAGCAUAGUAUCUUGCCCAUAGUUAACACUUCAUUAAAUUUUAGCUACAUUGAUUUUUUUUUUUUUUUUUUUUUUGAGACAAUCUCACUCUGUCGCCUGGGCUGGAAUGCAGUGGUGCAAUCUUGGCUCACUGCAACCUCUGCCUCCCGGGUUCAAGCGAUUCUCCUGCCUCAGCCUUCUGAGUAGCUGGGGUGACAGGCAUGCGCCACCAUGCCCGGCUAAUUUUUGUAUUUUUAGUAGAAAUAGGGUUUCACAGUGUUGGCUGGGGUGAUCUUGAACUCCUGACCUCAGGUGAUCCACCUGCCUUGGUCUCCCAAAGUACAGACAUGAGCCACUGCGCCUGGCCCAUUCAUUCUUAUUAUGAAUCCUUAGUGACUCUAGAAUAGAACUUUUUUUUAAAAAGCUAAAUACUUUUUUUUCUUUACUCUUUAUGUGGUUUAAAAGAUAUAUUACUUUUGAACACCAGUGGUAACUAUUUGGGGAGAGCAAGUUGGAGACAUUUAAAAUCAGUUGCAAUAAGCAAACAUGCUAUUGUAUAUUGUUACUCAAAUAUAUAGAGAUUCUCUCUGUUGACUUUAUUUUAAAAAAUUUUUAACUGGCUUUUUAAAGUUUUCAAUACUUAAAUACAUAAGUUUUCAGUAUUUAACUACUAUAAACAUACUAACUUGCUGAGAAUGCCACUCAUAUAUAUUUCAAGGGAAACGGUCAUAAAAAUGUAAAUGCUACUUAGAAAAUAAUGUUUUCAAUGCCAUCUAGCUUUCACUGUGAAGAGUGAAUCAGCAUCUAAGAGCCCAGUUUCUGUCUCUUAGAACCUGAAAUCUUGUCCAGUGUAUGCUUUUUCUUCAUUCGAGUACCUUUAAAGAGGACAUAUAUUGUAAAAGAACAGAAAAGGGCUUUUGUUUUGUUGAAAGGCCUGCAAAUCAAAUAGAAUGACACCCGCUGCAAGCUGAGUUGAAACAUUUAUCCUUUUGUCUUCUCUCUCUCUGGGGGGGCAUAAAAAAAUUAGUCAGAAGAGGCACCUGGACAGAGGUACUUUAAAAUGCAACAGUAAAAUCUGAAUGUGUUCCUGGCUUGCUAGUGACUUCAGUUAUGAUUUAAGAGGACCUAAAGCUAUCUCAGCUUUCAUACCUGUAAAAAUGAGGGAUCCUUCCUUAAAAAUAUUAGGAGAACAUACAAUGAAUUGUCAAGCAUGGAAUUAGGCAUAGAUGUUGGGGACUGAGUGAAAGAUAACAGGAAAAGUGGAAGGCCUUAGAAAAUGGUAUCAAAGAGUGGGGAAAAAGUCGGAAAGUGGCCUGACACAAGUGAUGACACUAAAUGACACCAUCUACAUUUGUUGAAUAUAAAUAUUGUAGUUAAAAAAAUAUAUAUUUUUAUAUUUAAUACUCACCUCAAACCUAUGAAGUAAGUACUAUUAUUAGUCCCAUUUUACAGAUGAGAAAAUUGAGGCUUAAGGAGGCAUAAAAUAAGGUCAAACUCAUAUAGCUAGUAAAAUUUAGGUCUAUUUUAGACCCUGAGUCACUUGUCAUAACUUUGUUAUUUAUUUAUUUUUUUAAAAAUCACAAGCAAGGUGAGAAUCAUGGUUACCAAGUUCUUUAGAGAAAGCUCAGGAAGAGGCUGGGCACAGUGGCUCAUGGCUGUAAUCCCAGCAUUUUAGAAGGCCAAGGCGGGUGGAUCACUUGAGGUCAGGAGUUCAGGACCAGCCUGGCCAACAUGGCGAAACGCCAUCUCUACUAAAAAUACAAAAAUUGGCUGGGCGUGGUGGCACCCGCCUGUAAUCCCAGCUACUUGGGAGGCUGAGGCAGGAGAAUCACUUGAACCCAGGAGGCGGAGGUUGCAGUGAGCCUAGAUUCUGUCACUGCACUCCAGCCUGGGCAACAGAGCAAGACUCCAUCUCAAAAAAUAAAAAUAAAUAAAUAAAUAAAAGUUCAGGAAAGAUGCUAAGGUACUCCCUAACACAGCAGAGGCGCUUCAGGUCCCACUGACUCUCCCAGCCUAUUCACUGUCUUCCUGCCUGGCUUUGUCCUGGGUGAUGUAUUCCCUGGGGACUGUAACCAAUUCCAAGAAACCAAGAGAAGAAUGCCUUUAUUUUUUACAUUAAUUUGAUUCAUUAUACAGGCAGUGGUCUCUACAAGGAUGUCUGACCUAGAGUGGAGAUGGGGUGACUGAGGAUGGAAAUCUAGUCUGAACUCCACUCUCCAAUUUGGCAGGUACAGAGGUGGCAGUGGGCUGCUUCUACCCUGGCAUGGGUCUGCAUCAGCCCAGGACUCAAUCCAGAGGAAGGGGUGCCUAUUUUUUUUUUUUUAUCAAGAUACCACAUGGGCUGGUGGUAGCUCUGGGUGGUCAAUGGGAAGGAGGUGGUCAGAAGGAGUGACCUAUUGGUCACCUAUGUACCUAUGUCCUAGCAAGCCAUGUAGCAGAGUGGGAUGAGGGUGGUAAAGGAUACAGAGACUAUAUCUCAUAAUCCAUGGCAUUUACUCUCCUCCUGUCUUGAUCCCAAUUAUAACCAUCUGUCCCGUCUCUCCCUCCAGAAGACCUGUGUCUUACUCAGCUUUGUGUUCCUUACAUCUCUGUAGCACACACUCCCCUGCGAAGGGGUUUUAUAAGGAACCCAGAGCCAAGACAAAGGAAUCAGGAGGAAUUCUAGCACAAUGGGAAGCCCCUGAAGGGUUUAAGCAGAAGACAAUAAAAGACUCCGAGAAGUGGCAGCAGGGAGUGGAGGAAAAAAAGCCUGGAAUUUACCCUGCUUUCUGCUCUGCACAUGGAAUGCCCCCUCCAUGUGUCCAUUGUCAUCCAAGGUGUUUUGACAGGUCUAGAGUGGGGUAAAAGAAUGGUAUUUAUUCAGGCCUAAUAUUGAGGCUUGGGGCUGGGCUGUAUAUCAGAGGGCAUGCAUAGACAAAGCUGAACAAAGGGGCACACCUACUGGGCACCUGCUGGGCACUUCUCUAAAAGUGGCACUGAGACAUCAUUAGGAUGAAUUAGAACUAGGGCACCAGUUAACCCGGGCCUGCAUGCUAGUGAAAGGAAAAUUGCGCCUCUCCCUCAACCCUGCUCCAGACAACUGAAUGGUGACUUCAAGAACAAAUAUUCAGGCUGGGUGCGGUGGCUCACACCUGUAAUCCCAACACUUUUGGAGGCUGAGGUGAGUGGAUCACCUGAGGUCAGGAGUUCGAGACUAGCCUGGCCAACAUGGUGAAACCCUGUUUCUACUAAAGAUACAAAAAUUAGCUGGGCGUGGUGGUGGGUGCCAGUAAUCUCAGCUAGGAGGCUGAGGCAGGAGAAUCGCUUGAGCCUGGGAGGCAGAGGUUGUUGAGAUGGUGCCAUUGCACUUCAGCCUGGACGACAAGAGCAUAACUCUGUCUCAAAAAAAAAAAAAAAAAAAAAAGAACAAAUAUUCAAAGGAUAUUAAUUAGAAGGGGAGUGACAUUGUAGACCAGACCAUGCUCCAUCAUAUAAAAGCUGUAUUGUUGGCAAAGUUGUUGAGCAUCUCAUGGCCUCAUUUUCCUCGUCUGUAAACUAGUGCCUUGUCACACAAAUCUGUUAUGAGGAUUACAUGAGUGCCUAGGCAGAUGACAACUGUUAUGUAGCAAAUCUGUAGUGAGAAAUGAACCCAGAAUAUGCAGCACAAAAUGCCUCCUUAACUCCAUAGUCAGGUUAGAAAAAGAGAAGAGAAGGAAAGAGGAGAGAGAGAACCUGUCAUCAUAGAGAGAUCCCUACCCCCAACCCCCUCUGCUGGCUACCAAGGUAAGGUAGACCUGCCCACAAGGCUGGAAGUUUCGGAAAGGUAAAGAAAGUCUAAACACAUGCACAUACAAACACUAUUACUUAACAUUUUAGUAAUAUUAAGUCAUAUAACAUUUGGUGCCCAGGGUAAACUUCCAUUUGAUUAGAGGUUCCGGUUAGGUUAGUAUCAUCUCAAAAUUUACCUAAUUUAGUCUUCUCAUCAACCUCUCAAAGUAGUGUCUGCAUAUUUGGAUAUCAUUAACCUGUAGUCAAAACCAGGAGAUGUUGUGGUUCAUACAUAUUUUGUACACAUAAAGAUUCGACUUCAAUUUCUGCAGAAUAAGGUCAUAGCACACUUAGUAUUUAAUGUAUUUAAAGACAUGUAUGCAAAGAGAAAACAUGACAGCAUUUACCUCAUGCCCCUUAGCAUGAAAGCAUACAACACUAAUGAUAACUUUAUUAUCCUAUUUUUGAAUAUCACCAGCAACCUGAGAAAUUAUUUACGUUCAGAUACAAACAGGUCAAAUAUAAAUGGCCACAAUAGGAGCCAACUAUUAAUACAUAAUUAUAAAAUAUUAAGUCCCUUCUGAAGAAGCAAAAAAUGGCAUUUGCGGCUGGGCACGGUGGCUCACGCCUGUAAUCCCAGCACUUUGGGAGGCCGAGGUGGGUGGAUCACCUGAGGUCAGGAGUUCAAGACCAGCCUGACCAACAUGGUGAAACCCCAUCUCUACUAAAAAUACAAAAUUUAGCUGGGUGUGGUGGCGGGCACCUGUAAUCCCAGCUACUCGGAAGGCUGAGGCGUGAAAAUUGCUUGAACCCGGGAGGUGGAGGUUGUGGUAGGCCGAGAUCCUGCCACUGCACUCCAGCCUGGGUGACACAGCGAGACUCCAUCUCCAAAAAAAAAAAAAAAGGCAUUAACUUUGCAUAUUAUUAUUUACCAAAAAUGCAGAUACAUAAUGCUUAACAGUAUAAAAAACAAUUAUAUUUAUAUCAGUCGUCAUCACCCUUUAGAUUCGCCAUCUACAGGAGAACUAAGAAAAUGCUGGUUCUUCCCUGUAUGAAUGAUAAUCUAGCAAAACAAAAAAAUAGAGCAUUCUCAUAGUUGUAUUAAAGUUAUUGGGUGAUACUCCUAUUAUUUGGUGAUAAAAAUUAAAUACCUUUUAUGGCUAGAGUGAAUAUUCCCACCAAUGUUACCAAUCUGAUACACAAAAAUAAAUAGUAGGGUUUAAGUAAUAAGGGAAAGAUCAACUUUUCCUUAAGAUACCAUUUAAUGUACAUAAUUAUUAAAACCUAUAAUUUUCAAAUCAAUGAAAUUGAGGAAAACUAGAAAUUUUGGAUAGUUUUUUAGCGCAUGCUACUUAAAUUUUACGUUUUUUUCCUUCUAGGUGCUAAAAUUUUUUCUUUCUAGGUAUGACCAUGUUUAUAGUUACCUAUUAGCAAAGGUUGAAGGGCUGGGAAUCAGGAAACUCAUGAUUCUGCUUUUUAUUUUGAUCCCGAUCCUAUAACCUUGGACAUGUUAUUUAUCUACUAAAAGAAGAACACUAUUUCCCAUCCCCAAACUGCCUCAUCUCUUAGGGCAAGCCAAUCUUUGGUUUUCUAUACCACUGGGAGGAACCAUUGCAUAGGAAAAGCAGAACACUGGGUAAUAAAUUAUUCUGUGUAACUCUUUGGCAAACAUUAUUUAAUUUUUUGGCAACAGAUUCACCUUCUUGGUUAUGUUCUAAUAAAGCUCAUGUCAAGAGUAUCCAUGAAAACACACACUGUCUACUGGCAGGAGAAGCUGACAUAGGACCAAAAAAUAAUUGGGGAUUAGAAAGCGAUAAAUCAAUAUAAAAACGAUCAAGCUGUCUACUGUGAAAUUAAUGAAGUAGUAUCAAAGUGCUUUGUUCAGCUUAGAGGAAAAGCAAUAGAAACUAUAUAACUAGACAAUUCUUGUAAACCAGGAAUAAACAAUAGUCACACGCCAGGUUAUUACAACUGAGAUUAAGGACAGUGGUCUAAGGAAUUAAGGAUAUGUUACAGCAUCACUUCAUUUGGAACUACCACUUUAAAAAGAAGUGUAUACCUCACUGAGCAUCACAGAUUUCACCUUCAAAGACUUCAAAAUGACCAUCUGUUCAUGGAGCUGUCUGGUACAGACCCCAGGUUUCUGCCUUUUAGAAGAUGGUGGUCUAAGCCCGACAACAGUGGAGCAGAAAAACCCAUACAUCACCUUUCCUCCCACAGACGAUGUUUAACCGUACAGUAGUAGAAAAUGUGACUCUGAAGGAGCAAGUAUAUUUUAGAGGACAGAGAAAGUCUUACAAGGCGUGUUUUUAGAAAGGGUGGGAAAUCACCACCCUCCUUUGACCAGACAGGCAGGGCUUUGUGUAGGAGGGUGGGGCUGUCAGAAACUGUCUGAAUGAUGGAAGGCAGCAGCUUAGCAGGCUAGUGGGAAGAGCGACUCCAACUGCACGGCUCAGCUUAGGAGGCAGAAGUGAGGUCAAGAGUAAUGAUCUUUGCAGACCGUCCACAGGGGUGAGAUCACUCUGAGAAGCCCAAGGAAACAGAAGUGGAGGGUCAUGAUUCUGACCCUCAGUGUUAGCUGUGGAGAAACUCAAGCUCAUGGUCAGAUAAACCCUGCUCCACCCAGUAAUGGCCUCAGUGAUCCACUUAUGUGUUUGACCUAUUUCUUUCUCAUUUAUAAGGUACACAUGAUUCUGCCCUUUACAUAAGGUUGUUUCAUGAUCUUAAAGGAGAUUAUGUAGAUGAAAGGGCUUUGUAUUCCCAGGAUGCUAAUGUUAGAUUCUCAGGGCUCCCAUCAGUGUAAGAAUCAGACAAAUAAGAGGGUGAGUGGUCCCUGCUCAGCCCAUCGCCCUUAAAGACACAUGCUGGCACCUUCCCUCAUUGUAAUAGCCUGCUGGACUUUUAGUUUUGGGUUUAGGGACAUGCCAGGGGUGUCCUGCUGUUUAAGUGGCCAUUCAUCAACUCCAGGAAUGUGCUGGUGGUUUGCCUGAGUCUUAUCCAAAUGCCACUCUGGCCUUUGGAUAAAUACAGGAUGGGUGGCAACUGUGGUCAAAUUACUACUCCACCCUACCACAAGCCUUAUUUUCCACCUUCUUUGCUCCUCAAGGGAGUUUCCCCUUUUUCUUAUCCUUUAAAAUUAUUUUUAAAUAUUUAUUUGUCUAUGAAUUCUUAUAUCCUUACCUUGGUAUAUGAUUUUCCCAUAUAUAAUUUAUAUUUUGUGUUCAUUACAACAAGGGGUAGCAGAAGCAUAAGGGAAGGGACAUGGACAUGGGCCUUCACCAGACUUCUGGAUGAAAGAUGAGAUGACUAGACAAUUCCAAUAGUGAGAAAUGUAUUAGGAAAAAGGCUGAAUACAGAAUAAGCACAGCAAUAUGCUCUCCUUUGGCUUUAUAUCUACACUUCCAGAGGAGGAAACUGAAAUUUAUCAGGGUAGGUCCCGCAGCAGAGUAAUGACAGUAACAGUAACAGUGAUUACUACUGGUCCUGUGAUAACAACAAGAUUGGAACUCCGAUCUGGUGCUAAGCCAGUGAUGUCCAACAGAAAUGCAAUGCGAACCACACACGCAGUGUUCAAUUUUUAAGUAGCUACAUUAAAAUAACCAACAAGCAGGUGAAAUUAAUUUUAAUAAUCUGUUUUGUUUAACCCAAUAUGCCAAAAAUCAUUUCAAUAAUUAAUGAAUAUAAAAAAUAUUAGUGAGACAUUUAAUAUUUUUUGUACCAAAUAGUUGGAAUCCAGUGGGUAUUUGACAGCACAUCUGCAUUUGGACUAGCCACAUCCAUCUUGCAGCCAUUGUACACAAUAUUGUACACAAUAGCUACAAGUGGCUAAUGGCUCCCUUAUUGGACAGUGUAGUCUAGCAUGUUCCUAAGUAUUUUUGUGCCAUGAGCCCUUUUGGCAGUCUGGCGAAGCCCAUGAGUUCCUUCUCAGAAUAAUGUGUUUACAUGAAUAAAAUGUGGAAGACACAGGGUGACAAAGAAAGCAAUUAUUUUGAAACAUAGUUAUUCAACUAUUUAAAAAAACACAAAAUUGUGGUAUCGUAUAUACCUGCUUCUUCAAAUGGUGCUUUAAAUAACAUUAUCCAGAGGCGUAAUAAUUAUAAGAAAUUUUAAAUAAAAGAAUGAUCAUAAAUAAUAUUUCAAUAUGCCUAAAGCAACUGUAGUGAUGAUGAAAAUAUCUGUGACUUCAACUGAUAGCAAAUUAACUUUGAGUUGUGGAGUUAAUUUGGUGGGUCAAACCAAGACACUUUCCUAAUGACAUAGAAUAGGAGGGAAUACAUUAGAGGGCAUCAUUCACAGUCAGGUUGAGUACUGUUUCAUGAAACCUCUGUUAUAUUUGUAUGUAUACAUACACACGGUUAAAUACUGGGUUGCAAUGUAAAAUGUACUUUAUAUUGCGAGUCAUGGUUUUAAAAAGUUUGAAAUCUUCAUACUCUGCUAGUGAGAAUGCAAAACGGUUUAACUACUAUGGAAAGAAUCUGAUGGUUCCUCAAAGAGUUAAACAUAGAAUUAGCAUACGACCCUGUAAUUUCACUGUGUACACAUGCCCCAAAGAAAUGAAAACAAGUUAUCAAACAAGUAUAUGUACAUGCAUGUUCAUAGCAGCACUAUGCGUAAUAGCUCAAAGUCUUCAAUGUCUAUCAAUGGAUCAAUGAAUAAACGAAAGGUGGCAUAUAUAUGUAAUGGAAUAUUAUUAAUCCGUAAAAAGGAAUGAAGUUUGGGAACAUGCUACAACAUGGAUGAACCCCCAAAAUGUUAUGCUAAUUGAAGAAGGCUGGAUACAAAAAGGUCACAUAUGGUAUGAUUCUAUUUAUAAGAAAUAUCCAGAAUAGGUAAAUCCAUAGAGACAGAAUGCAGAUCAGCUGUUGCCAGGGGCUACGGGGAGUGAAGAACUGGGAGAAUCUGCUUAAUGGUGAAGGGGUUUUUACUUUGGAGUGAUGGAAAUGUGCUGGAACUAGAUAGAAGUGGUGGUUGUGUAACACCACGAAUGUACAAAAUGUCACAGAAGAGUCACCUUAAAAUGGUUAAUUAUAUGUUGUUUCACUGCAAU